Molecule: ribosomal RNA, 580 nt
Filed under: uncultured Glomus
Lineage: Eukaryota; Fungi; Glomeromycota; Glomeromycetes; Glomerales; Glomeraceae
Description: eukaryotic LSU rRNA
Rfam family: Eukaryotic large subunit ribosomal RNA
Source: RNAcentral
CAUGGAGGGUGAGAAUCCCGUUCGGUUGACCUUAUGACGCUCUACGAUACGCUCUCUAAGAGUCGAGUUGUUUGGGAUUGCAGCUCAAAAUGGGAGGUAAAUUUCUCCUAAGGCUAAAUAUCGGCGAGAGACCGAUAGCGAACAAGUACCGUGAGGGAAAGAUGAAAAGAACUUUGAAAAGAGAGUAAAAUAGUACGUGAAAUUGUUGAAAGGGAAACGAUUGAAGUCAGUCGUACCGACGAGAAAUCAACUUAUCGUGUGCGAACUUGUGGGCGUGCGUGAGUUUCGGCCUCGCUGUUUGCAUGUUUGUGCGUUUUGGGUGUACUUUUUCGUAUGGUAGGCCAACGUCAGUUUCGAUUAUCAUAAAAUGACCGGCGGAAUGUAGCUUCGAUUUCGGUUGAAGUGUUAUAGCCUCUGGUAGAUGUGGUGAUUGAGACUGAGGAUUGCAACGAAUACCCUUUGGGCUAUCCGUCUGGCCUCUGAAAGUUGCUCAGAUGCCGAAAGCGUGCUUACGGUCAUCUAAGAUAACGUUCAACAGGUUAGAACGUGAUUACAUUCGUUAAGGAUGUUGACGUAAUGG